CUUGUACACACCGCCCGUCACACCAUGGGAGCGGGUUCUGCCAGAAGUAGUUAGCCUAACCGCAAGGAGGGCGAUUACACGGCAGGGUUCGUGACUGGGGUG
This 102-nucleotide ribosomal RNA is filed under the name uncultured bacterium. Its description in RNAcentral is "partial 16S ribosomal RNA". It matches the Rfam family "Bacterial small subunit ribosomal RNA", at positions 1380 to 1482 of the family's 1533-position model. The record is from RNAcentral.